CGGGUGAGUAACACGUGGACAAUCUGCCCCCCGGUCCGGGAUAGCCCAGGGAAACCUGGAUUAAUACCGGAUGAGACGGGACCCGCGGAGGCGGGAUCCGGGAAAGGCGCUACGGCGCCGCCGGGGGAUGAGUCUGCGUCCCAUUAGCUAGACGGCGGGGUAACGGCCCACCGUGGCGACGAUGGGUAGCCGGCCUGAGAGGGUGGACGGCCACAUUGGAACUGAGACACGGUCCAGACUCCUACGGGAGGCAGCAGCUAAGAAUCUUCCGCAAUGGGCGAAAGCCUGACGGAGCGACGCCGCGUGAACGAAGAAGGCCGUGAGGUUGUAAAGUUCUUUUCGGGAGGGGGAACAACCGUGGCAGGGAAUGGCCGCGGGGUGACGUGAAUCCCGGAAUAAGCCCCGGCUAACUACGUGCCAGCAGCCGCGGUAACACGUAGGGGGCGAGCGUUGUUCGGAAUCAUUGGGCGUAAAGGGCGUGCAGGCGGUCCUGCAAGUCCGGCGUGAAAGACCCCGGCCCAACCGGGGGGACGCGCUGGAAACUGCGGGGCUUGAGUACAGGAGGGGAUGCCGGAAUUCCAGGUGUAGGGGUGAAAUCUGUAGAUAUCUGGAAGAACACCAAUGGCGAAGGCAGGCAUCUGGCCAUGUACUGACGCUGAGACGCGAAGGUGCGGGGAGCAAACAGGUUUAGAUACCCUGGUAGUCCGCACAGUAAACGAUGUGCACCAGGUGGCGGG
This 737-nucleotide ribosomal RNA is filed under the name uncultured bacterium. RNAcentral's name for it is "bacterial SSU rRNA". It matches the Rfam family "Bacterial small subunit ribosomal RNA", at positions 103 to 827 of the family's 1533-position model. The record is from RNAcentral.